Lutra lutra (Eurasian river otter) is the source of this 1273-nucleotide long non-coding RNA. RefSeq lists it as uncharacterized. Lineage: Eukaryota; Metazoa; Chordata; Mammalia; Carnivora; Mustelidae. The transcript has 2 exons. The record is from RefSeq and is a predicted model, not a curated record.
CAGAGGCCUGUUGUACUUGAAUCAAUCGUAGCCUAGCAGUGGAGGACACAGAGACAGGUUUUUUCAAAGGAAACUCAUGGUUCUUUUUAUAGGGCUGUUCAUGUCCAGACGUGUCAGUUUUUCUGUGAACCCAUGCACAGUACAUAGGUUACAAAGGUCAAAUCUGAGUCCUGAGAGGCCUCUGUGUGAGGGCGGGCCCUGCUCUGCCAUGCGCUCAGCCUGCAGAGACACUACCGACAAGCAGCUGUGCUUGGGACAGCCUCCGCUUUGGAAUCCAUGCCCUGGGAAAUCUUUUGACAGAGGGUAACGUAGAUUCAGCUGGGGGGAGCGUUCAGAAGAGCCGCGUGGAUUUGUAUCCCAUCUGUGCCGAGUGGCAUUGCGGCGCAGAGAGGUAGGUGGUGUUCCCAGGGCUUGGGGGGCGCUGCUGAGCCGGUGGCGGGUAGAUCCUGGUGAGAAGUAAAAGCAGACAGAGCGUGGUGAGAAGACCACUGACCAGCUGACAAGCUGAUGGUCUUUGCAUUUGGAAAAUCUGGGUUUGGGACUCCCGGCAUGGAGAAGGGUGUAUUAGUUCUAGCAGCGGGGAAACUAGUGAUCAGGGGAAAGAGAAAGAAGGGUCAGAUGAAGAGAAGUGCAGACUCUGAGCAAACGCUACAGUGUUGACCUCUGGCUUCCAGAAGGACAAAAAAUCAGGGCUUCUUAAGGUCUGGACCUCAGAGCGUCGCUCCUGCUUUCCAUUGGUAAAGGCAAGUCACGAGAUUCAGGAGCGCGGAACUAGGCUCUGCGUCUGGAUGGCAGGAAAGCCCCACGUGAAUCAGGAGGGGAGGUAUUGGAGCCGGCAGUCCAGCUGCCUUUGGAGACAUUGGCUUGCUCUUCCCGAUGUCCUCACCGGCGUGAGACGCCCCACCGCGCAGACCUGCCGCUUGAGGCUCCCGACUUCCUUGCAGUCAUGCUCUGCUCUCAGUUCACACUUCUGACAAGCUAAAAUCCCGGGGCCUUUACACAAGCUGACUGCCGAGCCAGGUGUUUUUUGUUUUUUGUUUUAAAGAUUUUAUUUAUUUAACAGAGAUCACUAGUAGGCAGAGAGGCAGGCAGAAGUGGGGGUAGAGAGCAAGCUUCCCGCUGAGCAGAGAGCCUAAUGCAGGGCUCGAUCCCAGGACCCUGGGAUCAUGACCUGAGCUGAAGGCAGAGGCUUAACCCACUGAGCCACCCAGGCGCCUCCGAGCCGGGUUUUGUCCAGCAGGAGCCUCUUUAGGUUUUUCCUGGUUUUCUUUUU